GGGCAGAGCCUGCGCGAUGGAACCUUUCGAACCAGGUCAGGGUGGGAACACAGCAGCCUUAAGAUCGUGACCAUGCGACGUAGUCAACUUUGCUCGUC
Molecule: signal recognition particle RNA, 98 nt
Filed under: Oscillospiraceae bacterium
Lineage: Bacteria; Bacillati; Bacillota; Clostridia; Eubacteriales; Oscillospiraceae
Description: signal recognition particle sRNA small type
Rfam family: Bacterial small signal recognition particle RNA
About the family: The signal recognition particle (SRP) is a universally conserved ribonucleoprotein involved in the co-translational targeting of proteins to membranes. Archaeal SRP consists of a 7S RNA and homologues of the eukaryotic SRP19 and SRP54 proteins.
Source: RNAcentral